GACGAACGCUGGCGGCGUGCUUAACACAUGCAAGUCGAACGGAAAGGCCCUGCUUGCAGGGUAUUCGAGUGGCGAACGGGUGAGUAACACGUGGGUGAUCUGCCCUGCACUUCGGGAUAAGCCUGGGAAACUGGGUCUAAUACCGGAUAGGAGCCAUUUUUAGUGUGAUGGUUGGAAAGUUUUUUCGGUGUAGGAUGAGCUCGCGGCCUAUCAGCUUGUUGGUGGGGUAAUGGCCUACCAAGGCGGCGACGGGUAGCCGGCCUGAGAGGGUGGACGGCCACAUUGGGACUGAGAUACGGCCCAGACUCCUACGGGAGGCAGCAGUGGGGAAUAUUGCACAAUGGGCGCAAGCCUGAUGCAGCGACGCCGCGUGGGGGAUGACGGCCUUCGGGUUGUAAACUCCUUUCGCUAGGGACGAAGCUUUUUGUGACGGUACCUAGAUAAGAAGCACCGGCUAACUACGU
This 464-nucleotide ribosomal RNA is filed under the name uncultured bacterium. RNAcentral's name for it is "partial 16S ribosomal RNA". It matches the Rfam family "Bacterial small subunit ribosomal RNA", at positions 28 to 506 of the family's 1533-position model. The record is from RNAcentral.